RNAcentral lists this ribosomal RNA (658 nucleotides) under Umbelopsis isabellina. RNAcentral describes it as "eukaryotic LSU rRNA". It matches the Rfam family "Eukaryotic large subunit ribosomal RNA", at positions 66 to 647 of the family's 3401-position model. Lineage: Eukaryota; Fungi; Mucoromycota; Umbelopsidomycetes; Umbelopsidales; Umbelopsidaceae. The record is from RNAcentral.
UAACAAGGAUUCCCCUAGUAACGGCGAGUGAAGCGGGAAGAGCUCAAAUUUAAAAUCUGGCUUGCUUGCAAGUCCGAGUUGUAGUCUGAAGAAGCGUUUUCCAUGAAAGCUGAGGCACAAGUCCUUUGGAACAGGGCAUCAUAGAGGGUGAGAAUCCCGUCCAUGGUCUCAUGCAUUUCAUUUUGUGAUACGUUUUCUAAGAGUCAGGUUGUUUGGGAAUGCAGCCUAAAAUGGGUGGUAAAUUUCAUCUAAAGCUAAAUAUUGGCGAGAGACCGAUAGCGAACAAGUACCGUGAGGGAAAGAUGAAAAGAACUUUGAAAAGAGAGUUAAAAAGUACGUGAAAUUGUUGAAAGGGAACCGUUUGAAGCCAGUCUUGCUUACUUGUGAUCAAUCUUAGCUUCGGCUUGGAUGCACUCUCAAGUUAUGCAGGUCAACGUCAGUUUGAGAGGUGGGAAAAAAGUUUGAGGAAUGUGGCCUUCGGGUGUUAUAGCCUCUUACUAAAUACCAUCUCCUGGACUGAGGCUCGCAGCAAAAAUGUGGGCUGGUUUGCUCCUGAGGUGAAUCAUUAUUAAGACAGCUUGCUGACUUAGUUUUGUGGAUCUUCACGGUAGGCUAGCUUCUAAUUUGCUUAGGUCGUUGACAUAAUGGCUUUAAAUGA